Molecule: ribosomal RNA, 301 nt
Filed under: uncultured bacterium
Lineage: Bacteria
Description: partial 16S ribosomal RNA
Rfam family: Bacterial small subunit ribosomal RNA
Source: RNAcentral
CAGUCGCCGCGGUAAUACGUAGGUGGCAAGCGUUGUCCGGAAUUAUUGGGCAUAAAGGGCUCGCAGGCGGUUUCUUAAGUCUGAUGUGAAAGCCCCCGGCUCAACCGGGGAGGGUCAUUGGAAACUGGGAAACUUGAGUGCAGAAGAGGAGAGUGGAAUUCCACGUGUAGCGGUGAAAUGCGUAGAGAUGUGGAGGAACACCCGUGGCGAAGGCGACUCUCUGGUCUGUAACUGACGCUGAGGAGCGAAAGCGUGGGGAGCGAACAGGAUUAGAUACCCCUGUAGUCCCUGUCUCUUAUAC